UAUAGACAUAAGUAAAUUACGACAUUUGUGCUUAAUACCUUCCAUAAAAAUAUCAUUAUUACAAUGAUUCUCCAUUAUUAGAGAAACUCAUGAGCGUUGGUGUGGCGCUAACCUCAUCUUUCUCCUCUUGCAGGAAAGAAACAUUCUGUCAGCCACCGUCUCAGGAACUAUCCACAAGAAGGCUGCAAAUCCAGGCAGGCAGAGGCACCCGUCAG
Molecule: unclassified non-coding RNA, 215 nt
Filed under: Hevea brasiliensis (rubber tree)
Lineage: Eukaryota; Viridiplantae; Streptophyta; Magnoliopsida; Malpighiales; Euphorbiaceae
Source: RNAcentral